CUUACUUACUAAUAACACAUUAUUAGUUUUCAUUUUGUUUCAUCUUCUAAAUGGGUUCUAAAGCAGCUCUAAUUCAAUGCUCAAAUUACAUAGCUUUUGUAUUUUCUAUGUCAAAAUUUCGGAUAAUAAUAUGUGUAUGCUGCAAUGCAGUUAGAAAUGGCUACACUCUGCAGGCAAGCUUCUAUAUACCAAUACUUGUAAUAUGGUUAUUUGUGGACAACAUUCCGUUAUUUUCAUGCACCAAGAUCAUCUGAUUUGCACAGGACCAACUGCACACAAAUACUUAAUUUGGUUCACAGUUUCAUAAUUCCCUCCCACGAUUCUGAAGCAACUAGUUCGUAUAUGCCGACUCAGAUAAAUGUGCACUAACAAAAUACGCCUGAACAAAAGUAUAAAAGAGUUAUUGACAACGCACUAGGUGUUGCAAGCAAGAGUUCUAUACUCAUAUGAUUGCUGCAAUUUGCUAGCAAAUAUAUAAUUAUUUAUUAAUUGUAAUAUGGUUAUUUGUGGACAACAUUCCGUUAUUUUCAUGCACCAAGAUCAUCUGAUUUGCACAGGACCAACUGCAGACAAAUACUUAAUUUGGUUCACAGUUUCAUAAUUCCCUCCCACGAUUCUGAAGCAACUAGGUCGUAUAUGCCGACUCAGAUAAAUGUGCACUAACAAAAUACGCCUGAACAAAAGUAUAAAAGAGUUAUUGACAACGCACUAGGUGUUGCAAGCAAGAGUUCUAUACUCAUAUAAUUGCUGCAAUUUGCUAGCAAAUAUAUAAUUAUUUAUUAAUUUGGAAUAGGCACAAACAAUUCAUACAGUACACAUAGUUUCUCCCAUCUAGCUUUCCC
This 842-nucleotide long non-coding RNA is filed under the name Capsicum annuum. RNAcentral's name for it is "long non-coding RNA (CANN_LNC021747)". Lineage: Eukaryota; Viridiplantae; Streptophyta; Magnoliopsida; Solanales; Solanaceae. The record is from RNAcentral.